CUGAUGCAGCGACGCCGCGUGAGGGACGACGGCCUUCGGGUUGUAAACCUCUUUCAGCAGGGACGAAGCGCAAGUGACGGUACCUGCAGAAGAAGCACCGGCUAACUACGUGCCAGCAGCCGCGGUAAUACGUAGGGUGCAAGCGUUGUCCGGAAUUACUGGGCGUAAAGAGUUCGUAGGCGGUUUGUCACGUCGUUUGUGAAAACUCACAGCUCAACUGUGAGCCUGCAGGCGAUACGGGCAGACUUGAGUACUGCAGGGGAGACUGGAAUUCCUGGUGUAGCGGUGAAAUGCGCAGAUAUCAGGAGGAACACCGGUGGCGAAGGCGGGUCUCUGGGCAGUAACUGACGCUGAGGAACGAAAGCGUGGGUAGCGAACAGGAUUAGAUACCCUGGUAGUCCACGCCGUAAACGGUGGGCGCUAGGUGUGGGUUCCUUCCACGGAAUCCGUGCCGUAGCUAACGCAUUAAGCGCCCCGCCUGGGGAGUACGGCCGCAAGGCUAAAACUCAAAGGAAUUGACGGGGGCCCGCACAAGCGGCGGAGCAUGUGGAUUAAUUCGAUGCAACGCGAAGAACCUUACCUGGGUUUGACAUAUACCGGAAAGCCGUAGAGAUACGGCCCCCCUUGUGGUCGGUAUAC
Molecule: ribosomal RNA, 639 nt
Filed under: Rhodococcus sp. So2Ps_1643
Lineage: Bacteria; Bacillati; Actinomycetota; Actinomycetes; Mycobacteriales; Nocardiaceae
Description: bacterial SSU rRNA
Rfam family: Bacterial small subunit ribosomal RNA
Source: RNAcentral